RNAcentral lists this ribosomal RNA (492 nucleotides) under uncultured bacterium. Its description in RNAcentral is "partial 16S ribosomal RNA". It matches the Rfam family "Bacterial small subunit ribosomal RNA", at positions 29 to 507 of the family's 1533-position model. The record is from RNAcentral.
AGUGAACGCUGGCGGUAGGCCUAACACAUGCAAGUCGAACGGCAGCACAGUAAGAGCUUGCUCUUACGGGUGGCGAGUGGCGGACGGGUGAGGAAUACAUCGGAAUCUACUUUUUCGUGGGGGAUAACGUAGGGAAACUUACGCUAAUACCGCAUACGACCUACGGGUGAAAGCAGGGGAUCUUCGGACCUUGCGCGAUUGAAUGAGCCGAUGUCGGAUUAGCUAGUUGGCGGGGUAAAGGCCCACCAAGGCGACGAUCCGUAGCUGGUCUGAGAGGAUGAUCAGCACCACUGGAACUGAGACACGGUCCAGACUCCUACGGGAGGCAGCAGUGGGGAAUAUUAGACAAUGGGCGCAAGCCUGAUCCAGCCAUACCGCGUGGGUGAAGAAGGCCUUCGGGUUGUAAAGCCCUUUUGUUGGGAAAGAAAAGCAGCAGGUUAAUACCCCGCUGUUCUGACGGUACCCAAAGAAUAAGCACCGGCUAACUUCGUG